RNAcentral lists this transfer RNA (74 nucleotides) under Loxodonta africana (African savanna elephant). It matches the Rfam family "tRNA". Rfam says of the family: Transfer RNA (tRNA) molecules are approximately 80 nucleotides in length. Their secondary structure includes four short double-helical elements and three loops (D, anti-codon, and T loops). The record is from Rfam by way of RNAcentral. Lineage: Eukaryota; Metazoa; Chordata; Mammalia; Proboscidea; Elephantidae.
CCCUGGGUGAUGCAGAUAGUUAAUGUAUUUGGCUGCUAACCAAAAGGUUGGAGGUUCAAGUCCUCCCAGAGGGG